This 497-nucleotide ribosomal RNA is filed under the name uncultured bacterium. RNAcentral's name for it is "partial 16S ribosomal RNA". It matches the Rfam family "Bacterial small subunit ribosomal RNA", at positions 28 to 507 of the family's 1533-position model. The record is from RNAcentral.
GAUGAACGCUGGCGGCGUGCCUAAUACAUGCAAGUCGAGCGAACAGACGAGGAGCUUGCUCCUCUGACGUUAGCGGCGGACGGGUGAGUAACACGUGGAUAACCUACCUCUAAGACUGGGAUAACUUCGGGAAACCGGAGCUAAUACAGGAUAAUAUCUUGAACCGCAUGGUUCAAUAGUGAAAGACGGCUUUGCUGUCACUUAUAGAUGGACCCGCGCCGCAUUAGCUAGUUGGUAAGGUAACGGCUUACCAAGGCAACGAUGCGUAGCCGACCUGAGAGGGUGAUCGGCCACACUGGAACUGAGACACGGUCCAGACUCCUACGGGAGGCAGCAGUAGGGAAUCUUCCGCAAUGGGCGAAAGCCUGACGGAGCAACGCCGCGUGAGUGAUGAAGGUCUUCGGAUCGUAAAACUCUGUUAUUAGGGAAGAACAAAAGUGUAAGUAACUAUGCACGUCUUUACGGUACCUAAUCAGAAAGCCACGGCUAACUACGUG